GAUGAACGCUGGCGGCGUGCCUAAUACAUGCAAGUCGAGCGAACAGACGAGGAGCUUGCUCCUCUGACGUUAGCGGCGGACGGGUGAGUAACACGUGGAUAACCUACCUAUAAGACUGGGAUAACUUCGGGAAACCGGAGCUAAUACCGGAUAAUAUAUUGAACCGCAUGGUUCAAUAGUGAAAGACGGUUUUGCUGUCACUUAUAGAUGGAUCCGCGCCGCAUUAGCUAGUUGGUAAGGUAACGGCUUACCAAGGCAACGAUGCGUAGCCGACCUGAGAGGUGGAUCGCCCAAACGGGAACUGAGACAGGGUCCAGACUCCUACGGGAGGAAGCAGUAGGGAAUCUUCCGCAAUGGGCGAAAGCCUGACGGAGCAACGCCGCGUGAGUGAUGAAGGUCUUCGGAUCGUAAAACUCUGUUAUUAGGGAAGAACAAAUGUGUAAGUAACUAUGCACGUCUUGACGGUACCUAAUCAGAAAGCCACGGCUAACUACGUG
RNAcentral lists this ribosomal RNA (497 nucleotides) under uncultured bacterium. RNAcentral describes it as "partial 16S ribosomal RNA". It matches the Rfam family "Bacterial small subunit ribosomal RNA", at positions 28 to 507 of the family's 1533-position model. The record is from RNAcentral.